UGAGUUUUCCAUCAGGCCAUGGACUCCAGCUCUCCUUCAGGUUGCCAUCUGUAAAAUGGGGGAGCUGGGCGGGCCGGCUUUUAAGGAUGCUUCUGGCCCCGGAGCUAGCCCUCCAGACCCGGACCCGCGAGGCCAGGAGCUGACCGAGGCUUGCGCGGCUUCUUGCCCGAGAAGACGCGGACUUCACGGGAGGAAGGACGCGUCGGUGACGAGAGGGAGCGCGGCCGGUGCUGAUAAGAGACCCAGCCCCGAGCAACACCCUCCCGCGGCACACACUCCGGGCAGUCCCUCAGUGCUCCUUCCCCGGGGCAGGGGAGGAAAUCCCCGGAGCUAUUUCAAUUACAUGGAUGACUGGGGAGCGCUUCGGUAUGAGAUGCUGAGGAUCGUUGGGGAAGAAGUGACUUGAUAUGAGAGGACCUAGAAUUGGAAAAGACCUUCUGGAGAUCAUCUAGUGAUGGGAUCAAGAAUUGGAAAGGGUCUUAAAUAUCUACGCCAACUCCCUCAAUUUAUCAAGGAAGAACUAGAUUUAAAACUCUGUUUGACUUUAUUGGGAAUGUCUUCAAGCACAGCUGUGCCUACUGACUGAUAGCUCUCUGCUUCUCACCAGGAGCUGGGCAGACAAGAAGGGAAAACGCUCGGGAAUUUCCUGGAUGUUCAAGAACCCCAGGAAAGGUGGGGAACCUGGGACUGGAGUGAAAAAGGAUCUUGUGAUGACAGAUGAUACCUGGAAGACUAGCUAAAGGUGAAGACAGCAGAGCCAGAGCCAAACAUCAGUUCUACUAAGUA
This is a long non-coding RNA of Sarcophilus harrisii (Tasmanian devil), 786 nucleotides long. RefSeq lists it as uncharacterized. The record is from RefSeq and is a predicted model, not a curated record. NCBI's taxonomy places the organism in Eukaryota, Metazoa, Chordata, Mammalia, Dasyuromorphia, Dasyuridae. The transcript is spliced from 4 exons.